RNAcentral lists this ribosomal RNA (301 nucleotides) under uncultured bacterium. RNAcentral describes it as "partial 16S ribosomal RNA". It matches the Rfam family "Bacterial small subunit ribosomal RNA", at positions 509 to 807 of the family's 1533-position model. The record is from RNAcentral.
CAGUCGCCACGGUAAUACGUAGGGUGCAAGCGUUAAUCGGAAUUACUGGGCGUAAAGCGUGCGCAGGCGGUUAUAUAAGACAGAUAUGAAAUCCCCGGGCUCAACCUGGGAACUGCAUUUGUGACUGUAUAGCUAGAGUACGGCAGAGGGGGAUGGAAUUCCGCGUGUAGCAGUGAAAUGCGUAGAUAUGCGGAGGAACACCGAUGGCGAAGGCAAUCCCCUGGGCCUGUACUGACGCUCAUGCACGAAAGCGUGGGGAGCAAACAGGAUUAGAUACCCCCGUAGUCCCUGUCUCUUAUAC